This 409-nucleotide ribosomal RNA is filed under the name uncultured Syntrophobacteraceae bacterium. RNAcentral describes it as "bacterial SSU rRNA". It matches the Rfam family "Bacterial small subunit ribosomal RNA", at positions 359 to 759 of the family's 1533-position model. The record is from RNAcentral. Lineage: Bacteria; Pseudomonadati; Thermodesulfobacteriota; Syntrophobacteria; Syntrophobacterales; Syntrophobacteraceae.
GAAUUUUGCGCAAUGGCCGCAAGGCUGACGCAGCAACGCCGCGUGGGUGAAGAAGGCCUUCGGGUCGUAAAGCCCUGUCAGGUGGGAAGAACGACACGGGGAGGAAUAUGCUCUGUGAGUGACGGUACCACCAGAGGAAGCACCGGCUAACUCCGUGCCAGCAGCCGCGGUAAUACGGAGGGUGCGAGCGUUAUUCGGAAUUACUGGGCGUAAAGCGCGUGUAGGCGGCCAACCAAGUCUGAUGUGAAAGCCCUGGGCUUAACCUGGGAAGUGCAUUGGAAACUGGCUGGCUUGAGUACUGGAGAGGAAGGGGGAAUUCCCGGUGUAGAGGUGAAAUUCGUAGAGAUCGGGAGGAAUACCAGUGGCGAAGGCGCCCUUCUGGACGGUUACUGACGCUGAGACGCGAAAG